This 1018-nucleotide long non-coding RNA is filed under the name Mytilus galloprovincialis (Mediterranean mussel). The record is from RNAcentral. Lineage: Eukaryota; Metazoa; Mollusca; Bivalvia; Mytilida; Mytilidae.
CAAACACGCUAAAAAUAUAAAGUAAAAUGACACAAACAAAUAAAAAGGUUAUGAAACCAGAUAUUUAACAAAAAGGUUGAUACAAUCGUUACCCGAGUGUUUUAAUCAUUCAAAAUGUUUCCGAAAAUAGAAUAUAACAAAUAAAAUGUUGCUUCCAUCUGUUACGUAUGUGUUGAUACAAAUGUCUGCAUUGAAUAUGUAUCCGAUUUCUAAAUCACAGUGUAUUUUCUAAAACUUAAAUCCACACUGCGGUUAUUUGACGAAAGAACCAUUCCAGUUGUUAGAUUUUGCAGUACUUGACAGUCCUUUUAAUUUCUUUUUCCGUGUGACUUCAAAUAUUCAUUUUAAUUUCGUUUUCCGUGUAACUUCAAAUAUUCAUUUUCCUUAUUCAUUCUUACCAUUAUAUUAUGUGAUUGUAUAAGUUAUAAAGCUUCGAAGUAAACAAAUUGAUUAAGAUAGAAAACAUUGUAUUUGAUUCAAAUUUAUAAAAUUAAAGAAAAAUCCUAUAGCUUCAUUUACUCUCGAAGGAAACUUUGUCCGUCCAGCGAAAACAUUAAAAUAUGUAUUUCAUGAAAACUUGCCUUUUUAAAUUUGAAAAACAAUUUGCAUUGGCCAAUAUGAAACUUGCGUUCUUGGAUUGAGUCCUGAAAGUAUUGGCGAACAUCUACCAAGACAAGCCAUCAAAAAAAUAACCAUCGAAUAAGAAUGUAACCACGGUUCUACAGGAUUUAUUGAGUACAUUUAUUGUUAUUAUUGAAUCCUCGCCAAUCAGCAAGGAGAUGGUUGUCCCCGACAAAAAUAUAAGAUCUAUAAAACAAAAUAUAAAACAAACAACAUAAGAAGUUAAUGUACUAACCAUACAAGCAAAACAUCGUCUAAUCAUACUGUUAUUCAAACAAGGUCUAUCUAUUGUCAAGCUAUCAACAUUAUUCAUUUUAAAAGACCUUGACCUCACGAAAUAAUUCUUACAUUGCUUAAUUGAUAUAAGUAAAGUUUUUUGAGGCGGGCUACAUUUCAU